CCAACAGAUAUUAUAAACAGUCCUUUUUUACAGCCCAGUACCCAAAACUAAAUACAAUGGGCCCGAUGCCCCAAGUACCAUAUACAAACCCAAAACAUAACCCAAGACCCAAUUAAAAUCUAAUAGCUAAAACCUAACCCAAUACCCCAGAGGCCCAAACGAUAGCCCAACUACAAGAACAGGUCCAAUAAACCCAUAUCCUUAACAGGUUUCAGAAACCCUAAGUCAUCCCCUUCCUUGCAUCACAGCAACCCCUGGCCUUCGUACCCCCUUGCGCCAUACGCUCAGUACCCUCCAGCAGCCACGCCCACGCCUCCGUACGGCUCCCUGCACACCUCCGUACGGCCUUCACAUACCACCCGUACCCGAGCGCCAGCACACCCACACCUACAAAGAGACAAACAAGCAACAACAGCAAAGGGAAAUAAAAAAAGAAAAACAUUGUAUUUUUUAUUUUUCGUAAAUUUUUCCUCUUUCUUUUUCGGCUAUAAAGCUAGAAUUUUAGUCUUUGUAAAGGGUUACGCAACAAAAAAAUGAAAUAUCAACGCAUAUUGUAUGAAUACAGAGACAAUAGAAAGCAAUCGAAAAAACUGAGAAGGUGAUUUCCCUUCCCUUUUGAACUCUCUGUUCUUCACUUAUUUCAGUGGGCUUUUCUUCAUCGUUUUAUACUAAAAAAAAGGGAGAAGCGAAGCUUACCUACGUUUGAUGCCUUCAAACCCUCGCUUGCUUCGCUAUGAUUGAAACCAAGUGGCGAUUCGGGGUUUAUGAGCAAGACGCGUGAGUCUUUCGAUUCGAUGAAGCCUUGAUUGACUCUCGAAUGAGUCAAAAGGAGAGGCAGGAGAACAGGCCUUCGAAAGACCAGUGAACGACGAAGGGUGAGGGCACCCUAGUUCUUUUUUUCUUUCUCACCCUUUGAA
This 917-nucleotide long non-coding RNA is filed under the name Gossypium barbadense (sea-island cotton). RNAcentral describes it as "long non-coding RNA (GBAR_LNC000628)". The record is from RNAcentral. Lineage: Eukaryota; Viridiplantae; Streptophyta; Magnoliopsida; Malvales; Malvaceae.